AUGGGAAACAGGUUAAUAUUCCUGUACUUGGUGUUACUGCGAAGGGGGGACGGAGAAGGCUAUGUUGGCCGGGCGACGGUUGUCCCGGUUUAAGCGUGUAGGCUGGUUUUCCAGGCAAAUCCGGAAAAUCAAGGCUGAGGCGUGAUGACGAGGCACUACGGUGCUGAAGCAACAAAUGCCCUGCUUCCAGGAAAAGCCUCUAAGCAUCAGGUAACAUCAAAUCGUACCCCAAACCGACACAGGUGGUCAGGUAGAGAAUACCAAGGCGCUUGAGAGAACUCGGGUGAAGGAACUAGGCAAAAUGGUGCCGUAACUUCGGGAGAAGGCACGCUGAUAUGUAGGUGAAGUCCCUCGCGGAUGGAGCUGAAAUCAGUCGAAGAUACCAGCUGGCUGCAACUGUUUAUUAAAAACACAGCACUGUGCAAACACGAAAGUGGACGUAUACGGUGUGACGCCUGCCCGGUGCCGGAAGGUUAAUUGAUGGGGUUAGCCGCAAGGCGAAGCUCUUGAUCGAAGCCCCGGUAAACGGCGGCCGUAACUAUAACGGUCCUAAGGUAGCGAAAUUCCUUGUCGGGUAAGUUCCGACCUGCACGAAUGGCGUAAUGAUGGCCAGGCUGUCUCCACCCGAGACUCAGUGAAAUUGAACUCGCUGUGAAGAUGCAGUGUACCCGCGGCAAGACGGAAAGACCCCGUGAACCUUUACUAUAGCUUGACACUGAACAUUGAGCCUUGAUGUGUAGGAUAGGUGGGAGGCUUUGAAGUGUGGACGCCAGUCUGCAUGGAGCCGACCUUGAAAUACCACCCUUUAAUGUUUGAUGUUCUAACGUUGACCCGUAAUCCGGGUUGCGGACAGUGUCUGGUGGGUAGUUUGACUGGGGCGGUCUCCUCCUAAAGAGUAACGGAGGAGCACGAAGGUUGGCUAAUCCUGGUCGGACAUCAGGAGGUUAGUGCAAUGGCAUAAGCCAGCUUGACUGCGAGCGUGACGGCGCGAGCAGGUGCGAAAGCAGGUCAUAGUGAUCCGGUGGUUCUGAAUGGAAGGGCCAUCGCUCAACGGAUAAAAGGUACUCCGGGGAUAACAGGCUGAUACCGCCCAAGAGUUCAUAUCGACGGCGGUGUUUGGCACCUCGAUGUCGGCUCAUCACAUCCUGGGGCUGAAGUAGGUCCCAAGGGUAUGGCUGUUCGCCAUUUAAAGUGGUACGCGAGCUGGGUUUAGAACGUCGUGAGACAGUUCGGUCCCUAUCUGCCGUGGGCGCUGGAGAACUGAGGGGGGCUGCUCCUAGUACGAGAGGACCGGAGUGGACGCAUCACUGGUGUUCGGGUUGUCAUGCCAAUGGCACUGCCCGGUAGCUAAAUGCGGAAGAGAUAAGUGCUGAAAGCAUCUAAGCACGAAACUUGCCCCGAGAUGAGUUCUCCCUGACUCCUUGAGAGUCCUGAAGGAACGUUGAAGACGACGACGUUGAUAGGCCGGGUGUGUAAGCGCAGCGAUGCGUUGAGCUAACCGGUACUAAUGAACCGUGAGGCUUAACCUU
RNAcentral lists this ribosomal RNA (1529 nucleotides) under Escherichia coli. RNAcentral describes it as "bacterial LSU rRNA". It matches the Rfam family "Bacterial large subunit ribosomal RNA", at positions 1418 to 2925 of the family's 2925-position model. The record is from RNAcentral. Lineage: Bacteria; Pseudomonadati; Pseudomonadota; Gammaproteobacteria; Enterobacterales; Enterobacteriaceae.